AGCGAACGCUGGCGGCAGGCCUAACACAUGCAAGUCGAACGAACCUUUCGGGGUUAGUGGCGGACGGGUGAGUAACACGUGGGAACGUGCCUUUAGGUUCGGAAUAACUCAGGGAAACUUGUGCUAUACCGAAUGUGCCCUUCGGGGGAAAGAUUAAUCGCCUUUAGAGCGGCCCGCGUCUGAUUAGCUAGUUGGUUGAGGUAAUGGCUCACCAAGGCGACGAUCAGUAGCUGGUCUGAGAGGAUGAUCAGCCACAUUGGGACUGAGACACGGCCCAAACUCCUACGGGAGGCAGCAGUGGGGAAUCUUGCGCAAUGGGCGAAAGCCUGACGCAGCCAUGCCGCGUGAAUGAUGAAGGUCUUAGGAUUGUAAAAUUCUUUCACCGGGGACGAUAAUGACGGUACCCGGAGAAGAAGCCCCGGCUAACUUCGUG
Molecule: ribosomal RNA, 433 nt
Filed under: uncultured bacterium
Lineage: Bacteria
Description: partial 16S ribosomal RNA
Rfam family: Bacterial small subunit ribosomal RNA
Source: RNAcentral